UUUUGAUUGUUGCUCUGAGAGUUAAUAUAAUUUCAAUGAUAACUGUCUAACAACCAUCAAAUUU
RNAcentral lists this microRNA precursor (64 nucleotides) under Schmidtea mediterranea. RNAcentral describes it as "Sme-Mir-315_pre stem-loop". The record is from RNAcentral. Lineage: Eukaryota; Metazoa; Platyhelminthes; Tricladida; Dugesiidae.